GGUCAAAGGUCUUUCAGUGUGCCACACCCCUAAUCCGUAUCCAUAGCUUCGAGACCAACCAUAACGUAACCAAAACGAUAGGACUACAUGUAGGAUACUCAUAGCCUCAGAGGGAUAGCCUGAUAUAGGAGUUUGAGCUUCAUUUUUGGUCUGCAGCUAGCUAAAGACUUCCGCUAUAGUGCUCAGUUCUUACAUUUUCGCAAGAGUCCCUACUGAUGAGAAAUAUCAGCACUGUCGGAACAUACGUUGUUUUUGUCCAACUAUUGCAACCACUGCACUGGACAGCGUUUUCUUUCAGCUGUAAAACAACCAAUUUUCACAGUAUAGCUUUCACAGUAUAGCUACACAAUUUGGAGAAUAGAUAGCGUAAGACAUAGCUUUAAAAUGGUCUUUGAAUCGUGUCUGUAUCUUUUGUACUUUUGAAGAUAUCGGUGUCCGACAUAAUUAUGAUGACGUCCGAUGAUUGGUACUUUACUCUAGUUAGCAUAUUAAAUAUAAAGCAGUAUUAAAUUGCACUGAUCUCAUCUCUUUCUUUCUUCAGUGGACAGAACAAGGGGUUAUCUGUGAGUCUAUACCGUCACUGUUUGUGCCGGGUGGUCAGCUGGGGCCCAGAACAACUGUCAACACAGCACAUCCGCAACAGAACAGUGGAUUGAUAUCCCCUAGCAAGUCGUCUCUGUACUUAUCGAAUACCAGCAGAGCACUUGCCCUGAUGAAGGUAGCACAAGAUGCAGGAGAACAAAUGACAUACUGAUAUAUGAGACCUCUACAGUCUCUGGAGCUAUCACAAAAACCAUGCACAGAAUACUUCGGAUUCACUACCAAUUAGUCUGGGUUCUACCUCGCUGUUAGAGAUCCUGGCACUUGCAUUAUCAUAUCUCGACUGAUUCUGAUGUGGCCAUGUCAGACAACAAGACAGUAUACUGCACUGAGGAUGAUACUGAGCUACCAGAGUUCCAUGGCAGUCAUGGAAGUCUAGCAAUAUGGAAAAUCUGACUGCUGUCUAUCAUGUGGUCAUGGUCAUGCAUGGUGAGCGUGCUGCAUGAUCACAUAAUGGAUUGGUUCGGGAAGCGCCCCUCUGUCUGACUGUCUGUGGAUGUGUCUACUGGAUCGAUAUGGAUUAAUUAUGGCUAUAUAGCUAGAUAAUGCAAUAUAGAAUGUUUAAUUUUGUUCAUGUACGUAAUUAUACGUUAUCAAACGUUAUCAAAAGAGUAUAUAUAUACAAUUAAACA
This is a long non-coding RNA of Halichondria panicea, 1232 nucleotides long. RefSeq lists it as uncharacterized. The transcript is spliced from 3 exons. NCBI's taxonomy places the organism in Eukaryota, Metazoa, Porifera, Demospongiae, Suberitida, Halichondriidae. The record is from RefSeq and is a predicted model, not a curated record.